CUAUGAUCCAGAGAUUUCCGAAUGGGGGAACCCAGCAUCUUUUAUAGGAUGUUACGUAUACGUGAAUACAUAGCGUAUACGAGGUAGACGCAGAGAACUGAAACAUCUAAGUACCUGCAGGAAGAGAAAGAAAAAUCGAUUCCCCAAGUAGCGGCGAGCGAAAAGGGACCAGCCCAAACCAAGAUGCUUGCAUCUUGGGGUUGUAGGACUCCGAUAUGGUAGUUCUUUCAGAUAGUCGAAUGACUUGGAAAAGUCAGUCAAAGAGGGUAAAAACCCCGUAGACGAAAUUUGGAAGGCACCUAGGAGGAUCCUGAGUACGGCGGAACACGAGGAAUUCCGUCGGAAUCCGGGAGGACCAUCUCCCAAGGCUAAAUACUCCCUAGUGACCGAUAGUGAACCAGUACCGUGAGGGAAAGGUGAAAAGCACCCCGGAAGGGGAGUGAAAUAGAUCCUGAAACCGUGUGCCUACAAC
This 472-nucleotide ribosomal RNA is filed under the name Staphylococcus pseudintermedius. RNAcentral describes it as "partial 23S ribosomal RNA". It matches the Rfam family "Bacterial large subunit ribosomal RNA", at positions 97 to 570 of the family's 2925-position model. The record is from RNAcentral. Lineage: Bacteria; Bacillati; Bacillota; Bacilli; Caryophanales; Staphylococcaceae.